AAGUGAGGAAUUAAGGUCAAU
Molecule: small RNA, 21 nt
Filed under: Arabidopsis thaliana (thale cress)
Lineage: Eukaryota; Viridiplantae; Streptophyta; Magnoliopsida; Brassicales; Brassicaceae
Description: ATSL254210
Source: RNAcentral